This 253-nucleotide ribosomal RNA is filed under the name uncultured bacterium. RNAcentral's name for it is "partial 16S ribosomal RNA". It matches the Rfam family "Bacterial small subunit ribosomal RNA", at positions 524 to 776 of the family's 1533-position model. The record is from RNAcentral.
UACGUAGGGGGCAAGCGUUAUCCGGAUUUACUGGGUGUAAAGGGAGCGCAGACGGCAGUGCAAGUCUGGAGUGAAAGCCCGGGGCCCAACCCCGGAGCUGCUCUGGAAACUGUGCGGCUAGAGUACUGGAGGGGCAGGCGGAAUUCCUAGUGUAGCGGUGAAAUGCGUAGAUAUUAGGAGGAACACCAGUGGCGAAGGCGGCCUGCUGGACAGUAACUGACGUUGAGGCUCGAAAGCGUGGGGAGCAAACAGG